Podarcis lilfordi (Lilford's wall lizard) is the source of this 70-nucleotide non-coding RNA. NCBI's taxonomy places the organism in Eukaryota, Metazoa, Chordata, Lepidosauria, Squamata, Lacertidae. The record is from the annotation of a GenBank genome assembly.
GGCCAUAGCUCAGUAGUAGGACAUCUACUUUGCAUACAGAAGGUCCCAGGAUUAAUCCCUGGCAUCUCCA